AUCAGAGUGGCGCAGCGGAAGUGUGGUGGGCCCAUAACCCACAGGUCCCAGGAUCAAAACCUGGCUCUGAUA
This 72-nucleotide transfer RNA is filed under the name Ipomoea nil (Japanese morning glory). It matches the Rfam family "tRNA". From Rfam's summary of the family: Transfer RNA (tRNA) molecules are approximately 80 nucleotides in length. Their secondary structure includes four short double-helical elements and three loops (D, anti-codon, and T loops). Further hydrogen bonds mediate the characteristic L-shaped molecular structure. tRNAs have two regions of fundamental functional importance: the anti-codon, which is responsible for specific mRNA codon recognition, and the 3' end, to which the tRNAs corresponding amino acid is attached (by aminoacyl-tRNA synthetases). tRNAs cope with the degeneracy of the genetic code in two manners: having more than one tRNA (with a specific anti-codon) for a particular amino acid; and 'wobble' base-pairing, i.e. permitting non-standard base-pairing at the 3rd anti-codon position. The record is from Rfam by way of RNAcentral. Lineage: Eukaryota; Viridiplantae; Streptophyta; Magnoliopsida; Solanales; Convolvulaceae.